Molecule: signal recognition particle RNA, 293 nt
Filed under: Microcebus murinus (gray mouse lemur)
Lineage: Eukaryota; Metazoa; Chordata; Mammalia; Primates; Cheirogaleidae
Description: Metazoan signal recognition particle RNA (ENSMICG00000029547.2)
Rfam family: Metazoan signal recognition particle RNA
About the family: The signal recognition particle (SRP) is a universally conserved ribonucleoprotein. It is involved in the co-translational targeting of proteins to membranes.
Source: RNAcentral
GCCUGGCAUGGUGGUCCCAUAUACUUGGGAGGCUGAGGCUGGGGGAUUGGUUGAGCCCAGGAGUUCUGGGAGCUGUAUGGUGCCAUGUUGGUCAGAUAUCUGCACUAAAUUUGUCAUCAAUAUGGUGGUGACUUCCCUAGAGUAGGGGACCAGCAGGAUGCCUAAGGAGGGGUGAACUGGCCCAGGUCAGAAAUGGAGCAGGUCAAAACUCCUGUGCUGAUCAGUAAUGGGAUUGUGCCUGUGAAUAGCCACUACAUUCCAGCCUAGGCAACAUAGCGAGGGGCCCUGUUUCU